This is a long non-coding RNA of Peromyscus californicus insignis, 4559 nucleotides long. RefSeq lists it as uncharacterized. The transcript is spliced from 4 exons. Lineage: Eukaryota; Metazoa; Chordata; Mammalia; Rodentia; Cricetidae. The record is from RefSeq and is a predicted model, not a curated record.
CAGCCUCCUGGGUAGAGAGCGUGCCAUCUCUGUGAGCUCCAAAAACAACCAUUUCGUGCUGAGUGUCAUGUCAAGCACUUUGUGCAUGCUCAAGCAAACAGUUCUCAAAUUGAAGUGAAGACAUGAAAGGGAGAAAGAAAAACCCUGGAGCCAGAUGGAGCUCUUGAAAGUAGACACUCAGAUAUCCUUAAAAGGAUUUCCGGUUGAUUUCUACACAUGAAAUGAGAGGCUCUGGAUUCCUUCAGGUUGAUAUGAAUCGGAAUCUUGACAAGUGACAGUAUCGACAAAGAGUACAAUUGGUCUUCCCAGGACACUGUUAUUAUCUCAAUUUCUCAGAUUGUGGAGGCCUGUUCAAGAGGUUUCAGAGAAAAACAAUUUUAGCAACUGAACUAGAGACAGUUUCUAUGAUAUUUUGGCAAAGUUAUGGAUGCCUUCUGACUUUGUCCUAAGAAUUUGUCUGAGACUAAACUGAAAAGCGAUGGAAUGAUUUCUUCAAUGGAGAUUUCUAAACAGCAUAACAUUGACUCACACAGGCCUACAACCAAAUACAGUGAGUAUGACAAAAAGAAAUACAAAGUUUCAUUUUAGAAGAAAAAUGACCCCAGAAUUUUAAUGUUGGAAUCAAGCUUACUCCUGAAAAAGAUGAGAUUAAGAAAAAAACAUGAUCCAAAAUGAACCAAAAAAAAGAAAUAGUGCCCUCAGGGCAGGCACCUAACCAACUAAGCUUCCAACUUAUGACAAGGGAAAAGGAAUUUUCUGAUUCUACCAUGAAACUAUACAAUAAAAGUUACUGCAAAUGUAAUUCAAUGAGGUCAGUCUUCAUCCAACAUAGGCAGCUGAACUGGGCAAUGUUGUAUGUGUGGUACUGGUUUUGGAGUCAUUAAGGAAGCACAAAUAAGGGGGUUAUGAAAUCUUCCUGUUUUUCAGGGAGUCAUUAAGGAAACACAAAGUGGUUGUGGAAUCUUACUCAAUUUUCAGAAGAGUUGCUGAGAGCAAGUGACAGGAUGUUCCUAUAUGUAGACCCUGAGAGAACAUUGUGAAAAUCUCUGAGAAUGAAUACUGGAUGGCACUGGAUAUGUCAAAGUGCUAGCAGUGAAAGAGAUGAUAUAUUUACCAAGGAGAGCUGUUAAAGAGAGAGUGGAACCAGCCCAUAAUAGAGAUGUGUGUUAGAGUCAGAAAAACUGGAAGGACAGUUUUAUGUCCAUAAUAACUGGAAAUUCAAUUGCUAUGUAGUUACAUUUUAAAAUAGUUUUUAUAUUAAGGAAAUUCUACUUUUUAGUUGAAACGCUAUGUCUUAUGCCUCCCAAAGUGAUGGUAUUAUCAAGUGUCACCCUUUGAGAAGUGAUUACAUCUUGGGAGUAGAAAUUUCAUAAAUAAGGUUAGACCCUCCUAAUAAUAAUAAGGAAGCUUGUUUAGGCAUUCCAUAUGUGAAAAUGAAAUAAAAAGAAACCGGUCAUAAAGAUGAUGCUCUCACCAAACACCUACUUCUAUCAGAAUAUUGAUUUAAGUAUCUCUCAUCUCUAGAACUUCAAGGAAUAAUAAUUUUUGUUAACUAUACAAGCUAUAUUAUUUUGUUGUAGCAACAAGAAUGGAUUAAGACAACCUUUCCAACCAGUGUUUCUAGAUAAGAGGUUGGAAAAUUAUAACUUAUAUGUAACACUAAUUGAUAAACGGUCUUAUUAAUUAAAAAAAAACAGAGCCAAAUAUUGGGGUGAAAACUGAAAUAUCAGAGGAAUAGGACAAGCCACAGCCAACCUCACCUUACCAACUCCUCAGCCUUCAGAGAGAGCUACUUCCUGUAUACUGAUGCCUACAUACCUUUCUGUGCCCUGCCAUCUUACUUCCUCUCUCCACCCAGCUACAUCAUUUCCUCUUUCUGCCCAGCUCUAUCACUUCCCGUGGGUCUCCAGACCUCUAUGGUUAACUAGCACUGGGAUUAAAGAUGUGUGCCACCACACCUGGCUAUGUUUCCAGUGUGGCCUUGAACUCACAGAGAUUCAGAUGGAUCUCUGCCUCCUGAAUGCUAGGAUUAAAGUCAUGUGCUAACACUGCUUGACCUCUAUAUUUAAUAUAGUGGCUGGCUUUUUCUUCUGAUAUCCACAUAAACUUUAUUGGGGUGCACAAAUAUCACCACACUUAUAAGCCCAUACUCUGCUACUAUGUCCAAUUGUUUGUUGCAUAAAUACAAGCUUUAUAAAGUGUUCCUUUUUUAUUUAUUUAAUUUAAAAUAUUUAUAACAGACUUGAUGACUGAGACACUAAAUUUGAAGAAUUGUUAAGAAAAAUGUAACUUCUCAAAACCUAAUUGUGUUACAAAAUGUCUUUUAUUGCUAAUAUCAUCUUUGUAUUUUAUCUAAUUCAAAACUUAUGAAAAUAUGGAUGGUUGGCUAUUUAAGUAUCAGUAUAAUAUCCUUAAUGCUGACUAAAACUGCUUAACUGUAUGCUAUGUGCUAUCUGAUGCUUUAGAAAAAACAAUUUGUUGACUUCUUUUAUAGCUCUUAAUACAAAUGAGCAUAACCUUCUGGAGAUAAAGAUAAAAAUAUAGUUUUGCUCCUCAUCCAACCAUCAAUGUGGCUACAUUGAUUUUGAUUCAGUAAGCCACAGAUGAGUACUAGUAAUGCCAAUAUUUUUUUCAGAAACAGAGAAUGCUGACAUAUUGAGAUGGUUCAAUACUGCCUUUUAAGUAUAGUCACAUCUUGUUUAAUGACAAAUUUCCUUGUUGGAAAUUUAGUUUUGUGAUUUUUGUGGUUGUACGAACAUCGUAGACUAAGUAUAAGUCCCUUAAGGCACACAAGUGGCUAGGCCCCUCCCCUGAGGACCUUCAAUCAUCAGGCUCCACCUACAGAACACAGAACUGUUCCAUCAGUCAGACCCAGCCCACACCCUACAAAAUAAAAAGCCCAUGGUUAGGAUUUGAAAUCUUGCCAAUUUCUGUACUUGCUCCAAGCUCUGGACAUGAACUCUCACCAGUCCUCAUCUAUCCCUCAUAUUUAGUAAGAAAAUAUUUAUAUCUGCUAUGUUAUAAAAUGCCCAUCAUUGAUAAAAAAUAUUAUUAUACAGUAUAUAACUCUGCAUAGGAGUUAGUGAUUCCCUAUGAAGAUGAUGUAAAUAUUCAUUAUAAAGUCUUCUACAGUGUGAAUUGACACAGUGAUCCCACUUAUCUGUGUUUCCUUUCAUCAAUGAACAUUUCUCUAAUCACCUUUCUUUGUAAUAUAGCUUUUUUUAUAAGCAACAAAGCCUUACUUGGUUUUAGAAGUUGGUGGUUACUGAUUUGCAAUGGUAUGAAAAAAGAAUUAUGAUUCAUGUGUUUCACAGAUUUGCUCUUAAGUUCAUUUUUAUGUUCUUUUUAUUAUUGUUUAUGUAUUAUAUGAAGGUAUGUUUUUACAUAUCUGCCAACUGUUUCAUUCAUCAAUUUAUUUGUCCAUCUAAUUUUCUUACAAAUGUAUUUUAAAUUUGCUGCACUGCCUUUGAUCAUAAUUGUUUUGAAAUAUUUGUUUUCUAUAAAUAUAAAAUACAACGUGUGCUCUCAUCUAUUUUGCCAUUUACCAAUGUCCCCUGGAAAGAGCAAGUUUAGUGACAUCCUGUUACAAACAACAGGUUGUUUUUUUUUCAUUCAAAUUAUUAUGAUAGCAAAUUUCAGAAUUAUCUUUAGAAAGUAGAAAUUAUUGGUAGAAUAACUCAAUAAUAAUUCAAGAAAGCAUUGGAUUAGGAAAGAAAUAAUCCUUCUUCUGAGACAAAUUCUAACAUAAAAUGCUGGUCUCCUUUAAUGAAGGUUUAAAUGUCAGCCAGCAGUUCAUAUAUUUCGUGAUCUAAUAUUUUAUCCUUUACUCUUUUUCUUUACUCCAGUCAUGUUUAUUUACCAUUUCAUCUAUAAUGAUGUUACAAAAAAAUUCAAAUGGCUCUUCUUUUAGUGAUGUGGAUGAUUUUUUUUCAUAUAUUCUGUGAAUGUUCUCCAUUUGAGGACAAUAUGUCAACUAUUACCUUACAAAGUUAUGUUAUACAUUUUCUCAAUGCUAAAAUCAUGGUUUGAUAUUUCAAUACAUAAAAAUUAAAUUUACUGGAACUCCUCUUUUAAUUAAUGAAUUCCUUAUGGUAAUCAAAGUCAUUUACAUAGUUUUCUUAACUAGUCAAGGAGCUUUAUUUGACAUCUAUAGACAGAUUCCACAUUGUUUUAUUUACUUAAUGACAUUUUUAAUUUCUUUUGGAAUCAUAAAUGACAGCUAUGCUUUGCAUAUUAUAAAGAUAAAGGUAACAAUAAAUACAUGUAGUCUAAGAUCAGUUUUAGUGUUAGUAACAACUCAAAGUUCUUGGCCUAAGAUUGAAACUAAUAUUUCAACUAACCAAUUAUUUUUCUCUCAUAAACUCAACAUAAAUUAUCUCUGUGACUUGUACUGCUUUUAGAGAAAGUUGUGUUACUGUUUUUCAAUGUAUAUGCAUUAUAAAAAUAAUUAUGGAGAAAUAUUUGUAUUUUAGCAUUAAAAUACUUAACAUUUAGGCAUGUAUCAGAACUGAGAAUUAGUGAACAUGAUGCAAUCAUCUAAGGAAGUCAUACUGCCUAAG